GUUCGUGGAGUGAUCUGUCUGCUUAAUUGCGUUUCACUAAGGGCUUAUAAAUUUACGUGUGUUGUAAGUACUUUGACCCCUACAUUGAAAUAUAUGUAGUGCGUGUCUUUGUUUGCUUUACUCACACAAUUAAGUCCUGAAAGCAACGAACGUGACCGCAACCUCUUGUUGCCUUUAUCCAAAACGGCGUUAUUUUAAAUUUAUUUAAGAUUAACGUUAAAAAGAGGCUUUUAAACUAGAGGGACCGCUGUAAUCUUUUUAAACCAGAGGAAGGUUGCGGCAAUAACAGGU
RNAcentral lists this ribosomal RNA (291 nucleotides) under Foraminifera sp. RNAcentral describes it as "partial small subunit ribosomal RNA". The record is from RNAcentral. Lineage: Eukaryota; Foraminifera.